This 23-nucleotide small nuclear RNA is filed under the name Arabidopsis thaliana (thale cress). RNAcentral's name for it is "snRNA_05346". Lineage: Eukaryota; Viridiplantae; Streptophyta; Magnoliopsida; Brassicales; Brassicaceae. The record is from RNAcentral.
CAUAGGAGUGCACUAUAUUUAUU